RNAcentral lists this ribosomal RNA (1293 nucleotides) under Ursidibacter arcticus. RNAcentral describes it as "bacterial SSU rRNA". It matches the Rfam family "Bacterial small subunit ribosomal RNA", at positions 1 to 1256 of the family's 1533-position model. The record is from RNAcentral. Lineage: Bacteria; Pseudomonadati; Pseudomonadota; Gammaproteobacteria; Pasteurellales; Pasteurellaceae.
UUUUAGCGCUUUUUUUUUUUUUUUUAAUUUUUUCCCCCGUAGAUUGAACGCUGGCGGCAGGCUUAAGGCACAUGCAAGUCGAACGGUAGCAGGAAGAAGCUUGCUUCUUUGCUUACGAGUGGCGGACGGGUGAGUAAUGCUUGGGAAUCUGGCUUAUGGAGGGGGAUAACUACGGGAAACUGUAGCUCAAUACCGCGUAAUGUCUUUGGAUUAAAGGGAUUUGGGACUUUCGGGCCACCUGCCAUAAGAUGAGCCCAAGUGGGAUUAGGUAGUUGGUGGGGUAAAGGCCUACCAAGCCGACGAUCUCUAGCUGGUCUGAGAGGAUGACCAGCCACACUGGAACUGAGACACGGUCCAGACUCCUACGGGAGGCAGCAGUGGGGAAUAUUGCACAAUGGGGGGAACCCUGAUGCAGCCAUGCCGCGUGAAUGAAGAAGGCCUUCGGGUUGUAAAGUUCUUUCGGUGAUGAGGAAGGCGUUUUAUUUAAUAGAUGAAUUCGAUUGACGUUAGUCACAGAAGAAGCACCGGCUAACUCCGUGCCAGCAGCCGCGGUAAUACGGAGGGUGCGAGCGUUAAUCGGAAUGACUGGGCGUAAAGGGCACGCAGGCGGUAACUUAAGUGAGAUGUGAAAGCCCCGGGCUUAACCUGGGAAUUGCAUUUCAUACUGGGUUGCUAGAGUAUUUUAGGGAGGGGGUAGAAUUCCACGUGUAGCGGUGAAAUGCGUAGAGAUGUGGAGGAAUACCGAAGGCGAAGGCAGCCCCUUGGGAAUAUACUGACGCUCAUGUGCGAAAGCGUGGGGAGCAAACAGGAUUAGAUACCCUGGUAGUCCACGCUGUAAACGAUGUCGAUUUGGGGAUUGGGCUAUAUGCUUGGUGCCCGAAGCUAACGUGAUAAAUCGACCGCCUGGGGAGUACGGCCGCAAGGUUAAAACUCAAAUGAAUUGACGGGGGCCCGCACAAGCGGUGGAGCAUGUGGUUUAAUUCGAUGCAACGCGAAGAACCUUACCUACUCUUGACAUCCAGAGAACCUUAUAGAGAUAUGAGGGUGCCUUCGGGAACUCUGAGACAGGUGCUGCAUGGCUGUCGUCAGCUCGUGUUGUGAAAUGUUGGGGUUAAGUCCCGCAACGAGCGCAACCCUUAUCCUUUGUUGCCAGCGAUUUGGUCGGGAACUCAAAGGAGACUGCCAGUGAUAAACUGGAGGAAAGGUGGGGGAUGACGUCCAAGUCAUCAUGGGCCCUUCCGAGUAGGGCUACCCCCUUGCUUCAAUGGUGGCUACCAAAGGGGAAGCAAAAAU